GAGUAACGCGUGGGUAACCUGCCUCAUACAGGGGGAUAACAGUUAGAAAUGACUGCUAAUACCGCAUAAGCGCACAGUGCUGCAUGGCACAGUGUGAAAAACUCCGGUGGUAUGAGAUGGACCCGCGUCUGAUUAGCUAGUUGGUGGGGUAACGGCCUACCAAGGCGACGAUCAGUAGCCGGCCUGAGAGGGUGAACGGCCACAUUGGGACUGAGACACGGCCCAAACUCCUACGGGAGGCAGCCAUG
This 248-nucleotide ribosomal RNA is filed under the name uncultured bacterium. Its description in RNAcentral is "partial 16S ribosomal RNA". It matches the Rfam family "Bacterial small subunit ribosomal RNA", at positions 108 to 352 of the family's 1533-position model. The record is from RNAcentral.